UUCCGAUCGAAUUUUCUUAAAAACCUUCAAAUUUCUAUCUUUAGUCAAACAGCUCCAAAAUGACCUACGAACCUCCGAAUUCACUUCCGAUCGCGCACCCAAAUUCAGAAUCACCAUACGGAGCUACUACUAGUCUCAGAAUCCCAAACAAACAUCAAUAACACUGAAAUGCAUUUUAAGCAAACUGAUGCAAUUUCUUCUAAAAUGCUAUCUUCCACAAUAGUUACCAAAACGCUAUCGGAUUAUCCAAAACCCGAUCCAGGCAUACGUCCAAGUCCGAAAUCAUCAUACAAACCUGCUGGAACCUUCGGAUACCAAUUCCGAUGUCGUUUACUAAAAAUUCCAAUCCUAGUUCAUUUCUUCAAUUUUAAGCUUUCAAAAUGAGAAUUUCCACUUAGAUUUGACUCCAAACUUCCUGAAUUUUAAUUCUGACCAUACACACAAGUCAAUAUACCAGAGAUGAAACUGCUCAUGGCCUCAAACUUCUGCAUGACGCGCCGGAGCUCAAAACGACCGGUCGGGUCGUUACAUUCUGUACCAGCUUCCUCAUCAUCUGUUCCCCGACUAGAUGAUUUUCUCUUCUCCUGUUUUCAUUUUGUGAUAUUGCUUGUAGUUUGAUCCGUUCAGAUAGACUAAGUUCCUGAAGGUGGAGAUGAAACCUCUAAUAUUCUCAAGAGAUCUAUUCUUCAAGAAAAGAGGGUUAACACCAGCAGACUGAACCUCAUAGAGUAUCCUAUCGACCGAUGAAUCGAUACCCAUGGUGUCAAAAGUCAUGUCAAACCGUUCAGCCUAGAUGAAGUUUCCAUCAACAACAAGAGGUACAAUCCCUAGAAACUAUGAAUCGAUACCCAUGGUGUCAAAAGUCAUGUCAAACCGUUCAGCCUAGAUGAAGUUUCCAUCGAUACUUUUGAAAUAACAACGAGAGAAACCAAAUAAGCUUUUUAAAGAGAGAGAGAGAGAGAAGUGUCCAUGGAACCACAACCAUGCGUUGCUAGCGCGAGAGAAGAAGAAAGAUAGUCAUGAAGAAAGAUAGGGAUGAGAGGCGACAACUACCAGUUGUUAUUAUUUUUUAG
This 1073-nucleotide long non-coding RNA is filed under the name Nicotiana benthamiana. RNAcentral describes it as "long non-coding RNA (NBEN_LNC014813)". The record is from RNAcentral. Lineage: Eukaryota; Viridiplantae; Streptophyta; Magnoliopsida; Solanales; Solanaceae.